AUUGAACGCUGGCGGCAGGCCUAACACAUGCAAGUCGAGCGGAUGAAGGGAGCUUGCUCCUGGAUUCAGCGGCGGACGGGCGAGUAAUGCCUAGGAAUCUGCCUGGUAGUGGGGGAUAACGUCCGGAAAGGGGACCUAAUACCGCAUAGGUCCAGAGGGAGAAAGGGGGGGAUCUUCGGACCUCACGCUACCAGAUGAGCCUAGGUCGGAUUAGCUAGUUGGUGGGGUAAAGGCCUACCAAGGCGACGAUCCGUAACUGGUCUGAGAGGAUGAUCAGCCACACUGGAACUGAGACACGGUCCAGACUCCUACGGGAGGCAGCAGUGGGGAAUAUUGGACAAUGGGCGAAAGCCUGAUCCAGCCAUGCCGCGUGUGUGAAGAAGGUCUUCGGAUUGUAAAGCACUUUAAGUUGGGAGGAAGGGCAGUAAGUUAAUACCUUGCUGUUUUGACGUUACCAACAGAAUAAGCACCGGCUAACUUCGUG
Molecule: ribosomal RNA, 484 nt
Filed under: uncultured bacterium
Lineage: Bacteria
Description: partial 16S ribosomal RNA
Rfam family: Bacterial small subunit ribosomal RNA
Source: RNAcentral